RNAcentral lists this long non-coding RNA (398 nucleotides) under Daucus carota (carrot). RNAcentral describes it as "long non-coding RNA (DCAR_LNC006612)". Lineage: Eukaryota; Viridiplantae; Streptophyta; Magnoliopsida; Apiales; Apiaceae. The record is from RNAcentral.
GCUAGGUGAAACAUUGCUCCAAAGUUCAGUGUUCAGUAAAUUCGUAGGUUAUUGACAACCUAUACUAAAACAGCUAUAACUCUUAGCUCGUUACUCCGAUUGAUGCAAAAUCAGCGCCCAAUUAAACUAGAAAUCAUACACUACAACCUUCAUUCAGUAGUCGAUCACCCAAUCAUAAUAAAACUGCUCCGAAACAGUGCUCCAAAAACAGGACAGUAACUUAUAAUCCCUGAAAUUGAAAGUUUAUACCUUCUAUUAUUGAUGUUGCAACCUCACAUCACCACCAUCCCCAACCUUUACUACAGCUACCAGACCUGUAACAACAUAAUACUCACCUCCAUUCCGACACCCUCUGCUGCCUAGCACUUUGAACACCACCAAUGGGCUCAUCAGCCCCC